AAGGAGUCUAACAUAUCUGCGAGUAUUUGGGUGUCAAACCCGAGUGCGCAAUGAAAGUGAACGCAGGAUCCACGCGUAAGCUGCAGAUUCGACAGAUCUGGAACUAUAGUGCUGGAUUUGAGUAAGAGCAUAUAUGUUGGGACCCGUAAGAUGGUGAACUAUGCCUGAACAGGACGAAGCCAGGGGAAACUCUGGUGGAAGCUCGUAGCGGUACUGACGUGCAAAUCGUUCGUCUGAUUUGGGUAUAGGGGCGAAAGACUAAUCGAACCAUCUAGUAGCUGGUUCCUGC
Molecule: unclassified non-coding RNA, 289 nt
Filed under: uncultured fungus
Lineage: Eukaryota; Fungi
Description: partial contains 5.8S rRNA, ITS2 and 28S rRNA
Rfam family: Eukaryotic large subunit ribosomal RNA
Source: RNAcentral